This is a small nucleolar RNA of Osmerus eperlanus (European smelt), 121 nucleotides long. RefSeq annotates it as small nucleolar RNA SNORA26. The transcript has a single exon. NCBI's taxonomy places the organism in Eukaryota, Metazoa, Chordata, Actinopteri, Osmeriformes, Osmeridae. The record is from RefSeq and is a predicted model, not a curated record.
UUGCCCAUCAUGGACUUGCCAGUGUCUCUGAUGACCAACACAGGGGGGCAAAGCAACUCUCUCAUAAACCUGUAGCGAAGGUUAUUAUUCCUUGCUGCGGAUCCUGUCGGGAGAAACAUCA